UUAAAUUGAAGAGUUUGAUCAUGGCUCAGAUUGAACGCUGGCGGCAGGCCUAACACAUGCAAGUCGAGCGGCAGCGGGGAAGUAGCUUGCUACUUUUGCCGGCGAGCGGCGGACGGGUGAGUAAUGCCUGGGGAUCUGCCCAGUCGAGGGGGAUAACAGUUGGAAACGACUGC
This 173-nucleotide ribosomal RNA is filed under the name Aeromonas salmonicida. RNAcentral's name for it is "partial 16S ribosomal RNA". It matches the Rfam family "Bacterial small subunit ribosomal RNA", at positions 1 to 163 of the family's 1533-position model. Lineage: Bacteria; Pseudomonadati; Pseudomonadota; Gammaproteobacteria; Aeromonadales; Aeromonadaceae. The record is from RNAcentral.